GAGGGUAAAGCUCAGUGACAGUGUGUGUGUUUAGCACAUGUGAGGUCCUGGGUUCAACCCCCAGUACCUUCU
This 72-nucleotide transfer RNA is filed under the name Camelus ferus (Wild Bactrian camel). It matches the Rfam family "tRNA". Rfam says of the family: Transfer RNA (tRNA) molecules are approximately 80 nucleotides in length. Their secondary structure includes four short double-helical elements and three loops (D, anti-codon, and T loops). The record is from Rfam by way of RNAcentral. Lineage: Eukaryota; Metazoa; Chordata; Mammalia; Artiodactyla; Camelidae.